Molecule: ribosomal RNA, 398 nt
Filed under: uncultured Neocallimastigomycetes
Lineage: Eukaryota; Fungi; Neocallimastigomycota; Neocallimastigomycetes
Description: eukaryotic LSU rRNA
Rfam family: Eukaryotic large subunit ribosomal RNA
Source: RNAcentral
GUUCUACCUUGACGAAUUGUAGUUUAAAGAAGUGUUUUCUGUUAGAGGAGUAGCAAAAGUUCCUUGGAAUGGGACAUCAUAGAGGGUGAGAAUCCCGUAUUUGGUUACUUUUUCUAGCUUUGUGAUACACUUUCAAAGAGUCGGAUUGUUUGGGAAUGCAGUCCAAAAUGGGUGGUAAAUUUCAUCUAAAGCUAAAUAUUGGCGAGAGACCGAUAGCGAGCAAGUACCGUGAGGGAAAGAUGAAAAGAACUUUGAAAAGAGAGUUAAACAGUACGUGAAAUUGUCAAAAGGGAAGCGUUUGACACCAGUGUUGUUUUUCCGAAAAUCAAUUAAGAACGGCUUGAUUUUGUGUUGUAUUGACCAUAUCAGCUUUCUUCACUCUUUUUCGAGUCUUUCUU